RNAcentral lists this ribosomal RNA (594 nucleotides) under uncultured Bacteroidota bacterium. RNAcentral's name for it is "bacterial SSU rRNA". It matches the Rfam family "Bacterial small subunit ribosomal RNA", at positions 122 to 715 of the family's 1533-position model. The record is from RNAcentral. Lineage: Bacteria; Pseudomonadati; Bacteroidota.
CAACCUGCCGAUAACUCGGGGAUAGCCUUUCGAAAGAAAGAUUAAUACCCGAUGGUAUAAUCAGACCGCAUGGUUUGAUUAUUAAAGAAUUUCGGUUAUCGAUGGGGAUGCGUUCCAUUAGGCAGUUGGUGAGGUAACGGCUCACCAAACCUUCGAUGGAUAGGGGUCCUGAGAGGAAGGUCCCCCACAUUGGAACUGAGACACGGUCCAAACUCCUACGGGAGGCAGCAGUGAGGAAUAUUGGUCAAUGGGCGAGAGCCUGAACCAGCCAAGUAGCGUGAAGGAUGACUGCCCUAUGGGUUGUAAACUUCUUUUAUAAAGGAAUAAAGUCGGGUAUGGAUACCCGUUUGCAUGUGCUUUAUGAAUAAGGAUCGGCUAACUCCGUGCCAGCAGCCGCGGUAAUACGGAGGAUCCGAGCGUUAUCCGGAUUUAUUGGGUUUAAAGGGAGCGUAGGCGGAUUGUUAAGUCAGUUGUGAAAGUUUGCGGCUCAACCGUAAAAUUGCAGUUGAUACUGGCAGUCUUGAGUGCAGUAGAGGUGGGCGGAAUUCGAGGUGUAGCGGUGAAAUGCUUAGAUAUCACGAAGAACUCCGAUUG